CUUUGGUUGAACCUACUGGAUGGAGAAGGAGCUUGGUAAAGGAGCUUCUGUGGAGCAGAACAGAGCGAGGAAAGGGCAGGGAAAAAUGGAAGUGUGGACGGGCAUGGCCUGCCUAGAGUGAGCAUCUUUGAAUAGAUUGUCUUCAAUGUCAAUCAUUGCCACUGUCCCUCGGGCUGAGGCAUGGGUGGACCAGGAGCUGGACUGGCCAGUGGACACUCGCAGCCAUUUGGGAGGGCAAGGGGAUGCAAUGUUUGUCCACACAGGUACCUCCUGUGACUGGCACAGCAGCCCUUGGUGAUAAUCUCCAUGGGCCAGAUAAACAUGACCCUGUGUACUUCCAUUUCACUGCUCUGAUUCUUUCUUUCAGAAGCCUCCUACCACCCUCUGAGAAGAUUUUCCAGGCAAAACCCAGAUCUGCUGUAGUGACUUCAGAAGAAAGAGGUUUGAAGGAGGAUGAGAAGCCGAUAGCCAACGGUAUGUGUGUGAAAACACAUGGCAGACGUGUGCUCUCCAGCGUUCUGUCUUAUGUUUAAGUCUUUAAUCCAUCUGGAGUUAAUUUUAGUGUAAGGUGUCAGGAAGGGGUCCAGUUUCUGCUUUCUGCACAUGGCUAGCCAGUUUUCCCAACAGCAUUUAUUAAACAGGGAAUCCUUUCACCAUUGCUUGUUUUUGUCAGGUUUGUCAAAGAUCGGAUGGUUGUAGAUGCAUGUGGCACAAUAAGGUGUGGCAUUGUUUCCAAGACCUCUGUUCUGGUCCAUUGGUCUAUAUCUCUGUUUUGGCACCAGUACCGUGCUGUUUUGGUUACUGUAGGCUUGUAGUAUAGUUUGAAAUCAGGUAGCAUGAUGCCUCCAGUUUUGUUAUUUUUGCUUAAAAUUGUCUUGGCUAUGCAGGCUCUCUUUUGGUUCCAUAUGAAGUUUAAGGUGGUUUUAUUCCAGUUCCGUGAAGACGGUCAUAGAUAGCUUAAUGGGGAUAGCAUUGAAUCUAUAAAUUACUUUGGGCAGUAUGGCUGUUUUCACAAUAUUGAUUCUUCCUCACUAUGAGCAUGGAAUGUUUUUUCAUCUGUUUGUGUCCUCUCUUAUUUCCUUGAGCAGUGGUUUGUAGUUCUCCUUGAAGAGGUCCUUUACAUCCUUUGUUAGUUGUAUUCCUAGGUGUUUUAUUCUCUUUGUAGCAAUUGUGACUGGCAAUUUGGUCUUGAUUUGGCUUUCUUUUGGUGUGUUAUUGGUGUAUAGGAAUGCUUGUGAUUUCUGCACAUUGAUUUUGUAUCCUGAGAUUUUGCUCAAGAUGCUUAUCAGUUUCAGGAGAUUUUGGGCUGAGAUGAUGGGGUCUUCUAAAUAUACAGUCAUGUCGUCUGCAAAUAGAGAGAGUUUGACUUCCUUCUUUCCUAUUUGAAUAGCCUUUAUUUCUUUUUCUUGCCUGAUUGCUCUGGCUAGAACUUCCAAUACUAUAUUGAAUAGGAGUGGUGAGAGAGGGGAUCCUUGUCUAGUGCCAGAUUUCAAAGGGAGUGCUUCCAGUUUUUUCCCAUUCAGUAUGAUAUUGCCUGUGGGUUUGUUGUAAAUAGCUUUUAUUAUUUUGAGAUACAUUCCGUUGAUACCUAGUUUCUUGAGAGUUUUUAGCAUAAAGGGCUGCUGAAUUUUGUUGAAGGGCUUCUCUGCAUCUAUUGAGAUAAUCAUCUGGUUUUUGUCUUUGGUUCUGUUUAUGUGGUGGAUUACAUUUAUAGACUUGCAUACAUUGAACCACCUUGCAUCCAUGGGAGUAGGCAUCUAUAUUGUUAACUAGUAGCAAUCUUACUGUGCUGGGAGAAACUUAGUUUCCACCCUCCUGGCCUAGGAUGUUAUGAGUGUCCCUCGAGGAAGAAUCCUCCCAGAUCCUGCCACUGACUCCAAACUUGGCCGAUAAUUUACUAUCUGCUUUUACUUUCUGAGUAGUGAGUAUUUUUUAAGCCCAUCAAUAUCAUCUUACAUUUGUCUACAAAUUUCUUUUAUAUAUGUGAUAUAUGUGAUUCAUUUGAUCCUUACAGUUACCUUGAGAUGUUGACAAACAGGAUAUCUAUCUGUGUCCGUUUUGAAGAGGAAGUAAUUGACCCUUAGAUUGGUAGAUUAAGAAGCCUGCGUGAGAUCAUCCAGGCAAGGAGUGCGCAGGAAGAACUCAUGCCUCUUACCUUCCAGUCCAGGUUCUUAAACUUACUCGCGUGUCCUGAUGGUGGUCCUGCACUCCUAUUCCACUUCCAAAAGGAGUUCCUUUCUGCCUUGCCUUUUUUUUUAAGUUGUACUUUAGGUUCUGGGGUACAUGUGCAGAUCAUACAGGAUUGUCGCAUAGGUACAUACAUGGCAAGGUGGUUUGCUGCCUCUAUCCCCCCAUCACCUAUAUCUGGCGUUUCUCCCUGUGUUAUUCUUCCCCAGUAUCCCCACCCCCUGCUGUCCCUCCCCUAGACGCCCCCUGCAACAGACCCCAGGGUGUGAUGCUCCCCUCCCUAUGUCCAUGUGUUUUCAUUGUUCAACACCUGCCUGUAAGUGAGAACAUGUGGUGUUUGAUUUUCUGUUCUUGUGUUAGUUUGCUGAGAAUGAUGGUUUCCAGAUUCAUCCGUGUCCCUAGAAAGGACAUGAACUCAUCGUUUUUGAUGGCUGUAUAGUAUCCCAUGGUGUAUAUGUGCCACAUUUUCUUUGUCCAGUCUAUCAUUGAUGGGCAUUUGAGUUGGUUCCAGGUCUUUGCUAUUGUAAACAGUGCUGCAGUGAACAUACCUGUGCAUGUGUCUUUGUAAUAAAACGAUUUGUAAUCCUCUGCCUUGCCUUUCAUGAUUGCUCCUAUUUCCACUAUUCCCUCCCCAAAGCCUUGGCCUCACUGCUCUGAGUCUGCAGGGAUGGGCCUCAAAAUGCUUGGGGCACACCCCAUAGCUGGGCUGGAAGAUAUUGAGGUCUGCUGCUGGCUUCUGCUGCCCUCUGGAUGUUUACUGCGGCAGCAGUGGGGAGAGUUUGUCAUUCCCAGAGAUGGCAUUGUCAGGUUGACACUCAAAUUGUUUCAUGCUGCUGCCUUGACUUCUUAGAGAAUAAUGAAACACCCUCAUCUUCCUCCUCCCUUGUCUAGAGGAGGAUUAAAGGCAGCCUCCCUUAUUCUCCUGCUUUAGCAGGGGUUGCUGUGCUCUGAAGAAGGUUCAGUGUUCUUUGCCUCCCAGGGAACCUUCUCUCAGGCUCCAGCUCAGGCAGCCUAGAAGGGGCACACAGCCCUCUAGCGCAGCAGAGACCAGCCGCGCACUGGGCAAACAUGAAACCCUUGGCCUAGGGCACAGAGCAGAGUUUCAAUCAGUGUUAAUCUCCCACCUCUCUUCCUUCCUUUGUUUUUUUCUCUGUUGUUCUCAAAAGUAUUCACUGCUGUCUACUUACUUCUCCCAACUGCCACUGGACUAGUUACCUGGCCAUUUUUCCUGGGGAUUCAUUCAUUCAUCCCUCCAUUCAUUCAACAAGGUUUUAUUGAAUGCUCACUCUGUGUCUGACAAGGCUCCAGGUGCUGAGAAUACAGCAGUGAACCAGACACAGGUGGGAGGAGAUAAACAACAAGCAAGUCACUAGACGUGUGAAUAAGAUGCUUCCCACAGCGACAAGUUCCUUGAAGGAAACAGAACAAGUGUGUGUGGAAGAGGGAGAUUUGGGGGUGUCUUCGAAAUGAAGUGGUCAAGGAGGUGUCUGAGGAGGUGAUAUUUGACUUGAGACUUGAAUGAAAAGGAGGGGCCAAUUAUGUUAAGACCUGGCAGAAGAGCAUUCUAGGCCAAGGGAAGGGCAGGUGCAAAGGCCAGGAGGUUGAUGCAGCUGUGGCAUGUUCCAGGGGCUGGUGAGGCACGAGUGCUUUGGGCAAGGGGGUGAGGGGAAGAAGAGGAGGUCAGAGGAGGAAGCACAGCCUUAUAAAGCUUUUGAAUUUUCAGUAUGAUAAGAUUUUCGGAGAGUUUUAAGCAGAAGAGUGACAGGGUCUGAUCUAUGUUUAAAACUAUUUUGGCACCAAGAGACAUAUCAAACUGCUUGUAGCAACAUUAUUCAUAAUAGUAAAAAAAAACUCUGGAAGUUACUCAAAUGCCCAUCCGCAGUGGAAUGGGUAAUAGAUGUCAUAUGACAAUAAGAAUGAACGAACUAUGGCUACACGGAUGAAUUUCCUAAAUACCAUGUUGAGGGAAAGGAGCCCAAUGCAACAGAAUCCUUGCCGUCUGAUUCCAUUUCGGGAGACUUCAAGUUCCAGCCAAAACCCAGGCUGGAGCUUUCAGGGAUACAUGUUUGGGUGAUAAAAUAGAAGAAUAAAGAAGUGCUUACCUCGACGGCAUGGAUAGUGGUUGUGUUUGGCAGAGGAAGAGGACUGCUGAUAGAAAACACGAAGAGGGCUUUGGGGAAGACCUUGUCGUGUUCUGUUUCUUGACCUUGUGGCCAUCCACGUGUGCUCCCUUUAAGUGACGGAGCUGUAUGGUUUUGUUUCGUACACUUUCUGCAUAUAUGUUCAUAACAAAAAGGUAUAAAAACCUCACUUUGGCUGCUGUGUGACAAAUGGGUGGCAGGGCAGCAAGAGCAGAGAGGGAACUGUGGCUUAGUGGGCUGCCAGAAUCCCAGGACAGGACUGAUUUAUUGGGAGGCAUUUUGGUGGUGACAUCCACAUGACUUGCCAACAGAUUGGCUGUGGUUAGUGGUGGUGAUGAGGGAGGCAGCAAUUAGGGUGCCUCCUGGAACUUGGGUUGAGCGACUGGGUAGAUUGGGGUCCAGAGUCCAUUCAUUGACCAAGAGAAGACGGGGGUGGAGGAGGCUGGAGGGAGAGAAGAGGGCUGCUUUUGUUCUGUCAAGUUUGAGAGGCUGAUAUGAGCUGGAUGAUGUCCCCUCCAAAUCUUAUGUUGCCAUGUGACCUCUGGUGCUGGAGGUGGGCAUAGUGGGAGGUGUUUGGGUCAUAAGGGUUGAUUCCUCAUGAGCAGCUUAGUGCUGUCCUCAUGAUAAUGAGCGAGGUCUCACUCUGUUAGUUCACACGAGAUCUGGUUGUUCAAAUAACUGUGGCACCUCUCCCCUCCUUGCUCUCUCUCUCACUGUGUGAUGUGCUGGCUCCCCCUUUCCCUUCUACCAUGCUUGUAAGUUUCCUGAAACCCUCAGCAGAAGUGGAUGCUGGCGCUAUACCUCAGGUGCAGACUGCAGGAGCGUGAGCCAAAUACACUUAUUUCCUUUUUAGAUUACUCUCAGCUGUUUCUUCAUAGCAAUGCAAAAAUGGACUAACCCAGAUGUGUAUUUCGCAUUUGAAUGGAGAAAUCAGCUCUCUGAUGGGCUAACUGUCCGCUAACCUGGCCCCUUUCAUUGGAUCCUUGGUCCCAUGGUUCCCGGCCUGUCUGAAGAGGAAACCUGGUGAUACUGUGUCCCCUCUCAGAAUUGCCCCAUCACCCAAAGGACAGAAGCCAAAUUCCUCAUUGUGGCCCCAAGCCUGCGCCUGAGUGCUCUGCCUCCCUGCUUUCU
Molecule: long non-coding RNA, 5459 nt
Filed under: Callithrix jacchus (white-tufted-ear marmoset)
Lineage: Eukaryota; Metazoa; Chordata; Mammalia; Primates; Cebidae
Description: lncRNA (ENSCJAG00000074634.1)
Source: RNAcentral